Molecule: non-coding RNA, 206 nt
Organism: Ciona savignyi (Pacific transparent sea squirt)
Lineage: Eukaryota; Metazoa; Chordata; Ascidiacea; Phlebobranchia; Cionidae
Source: Rfam
AAGAUCAUAUUUUUAGGCAUCAUUUCUAUAGUGUGCAUCUUGAAAACGUUAUCAAAAUACGAGAAUCCUUAACUACGAUGAUGUUGUAGGGAUUCCUUUUGAACAUAAAGCUUGGUUCGUUUUAUCUUCAGAUGUUGCGAGGUAUUGAGGAUUGUUCUUGGAUUUCCAUCGGAGAUCUAGGAGGAAGGAAUCUCCGACUGAGUAGU